Molecule: long non-coding RNA, 1153 nt
Filed under: Apteryx owenii (little spotted kiwi)
Lineage: Eukaryota; Metazoa; Chordata; Aves; Apterygiformes; Apterygidae
Description: lncRNA (ENSAOWG00000002028.1)
Source: RNAcentral
CGCCCCCGCCCCGCGAGCCGCUGCGGCUGGACGGCGUGGGGCCCGCCGAGCUCCGGCGCUUCCUGCGACAGCGUGCAGGUAUACUCAUCACCAUAACAUGGUUUCACAUGGUAUGUAAAGGCUUUGUAACAGAACAAGAGCAAAAGGCAGCAAAAAUCCUAGCUGCAUCCUUGAAAAUUGUCAGUGGCUAUUAGUGCUAUUGUUAGCAAGACAACAUCAUGAAAACAACAAAGAAAAACCACUCUUGUCAUGUUUUAAAAAAAAAAAAGUUACAGACUUGGAAAGUGAAGAGGAGCCGAGUGGCACAUUCGGUGGGAAAUUGCAUGGUCAUCACUGAAGUCGUAAUGAUCCCUGGUGUGGGGCAGAGAGCACAGCUUGCUGCCUAAAGUGAGAUCCCAGAGCGAGGUGUGCUGAGCCAUCAGUGCUGUGUGUGGGCUGCUGACUUCCCAGGGAAGAUCAAGACUGGUGCAAGGACCAGAGUGCAAGAUUUUCCCUUUGCCAGCUAUUAGCAUGUAUCUGAAAUCCCAGUUGUCCACCUCAGACUGUAGGAAAACACUGUAUCUCAAUGCCAUGGAUUUAUGCCAAAAAAAAAAAAAAAAGCAGAAAGGAAAUCAGAUUUAUGAGAAAAAGGCAGAAACCUUUCACUGGAACAGUGAUUGCCUAAGGACCGGAUUCUUCUUCUGCUGAAAUGAAUAACUUUCAUGAGGACUUCGAAAAUUGAAUUGGCAUCUGCAUGAGGCAGUGAAGCAGCUGAUGUUGCAUCUCAUGAGAAGAAAUUUACUGAAAUAUUCCACUCAAGAAAUCAAUUAUGUUAAAGCAACCAUCUUAGCUACAAAAAUCAAGCAGAUGGCUCUUUUAGCAAAUCUGAAUGGAAAUGGAAGGAUCCUAAGUGAUUCUGGUGGGCUGGGGUUGCACAUGUAAUGUGCCUAACUUGUGCUAACAAAGAUUCACUGCUAUAGGUGUGUUGCUGAAAUAUAGCAAGUUCACCAAGGUUAAAUACAGCACACAAAAGUAUUUGCUACAGUUGGGUUUGCUAAGGACUUCAGUACAUUUAAAUGAUGGGCAGGAGUUCAUAGACUUUCUACAUCUUCAGUGUUAUUUAUCAGCAAAAGUUAAUAAUAAAUCUUGUUUUUAUUUUGGUAUUUUAUUGUGA